AUGAGGAGGGGUGCAGCCACCAUCCGAAAGACUUACAAGCAGGUGCAAACCAGAGUUCCUGAAACCGUGAAAGUUAAAUCUCCUCAAGAAGCCCAAGCAGAGCCCGGAGCACAGGACACCUACACGUCGUGGACUUUGGCUCUGUCCAUUCGGGCUCAGCUCCGACGGAUCCUCCAGCAGAGCCUUCACCAGCCAAGAGCUCCUGCCACACGACAACUCCAUCUCCACCCUGCUUCUCAGAUCCGGCCCGGCCCAGGGGCGCCCUUCUCCCUGUCUGCGAAAACUGGCUCCGUCUCCAACAUACCCAUGCCGGGCGAACCUGCGCUAGUCCGUCCCAUACGUCCUAGUGUUGAAACACGAAGGAAGUCACACUCUCGUGCUUGACUUUUCUCCCCUAAAAACAGGGGUAAUGAUAAAGACUAAUGUCUAGCUUUUAGAGCUGUUCCGAGGUUGAAGGAAAAGAAGGCAUGAAAAUGGUAAGGCACACAAUUUAAAAACAGAGAAGUAAACAUUUAGCUAUUGUUACUAUUCACACCUUCCAAGUGUCCUUUUGUUUUUGUUUUUGUUUUUUGCUUUUCAAGGCCACACCUGCAGCAUAUGGAAGUUCCUAGGCAAGGGGUCGUCAAGUCAGAGCUACUGUUACCAGCCUACGCCACAGGCACAGCAAUGCAGGAUCCGAGCCAUGUCUGCAACCUACACCAUAGCCCACGACAACACCAGAUCCUUAACCCCCUGAAUGAGGCCAGGGAUCGAACCUGCAGCCUCAUGGAUACUAGUCAGAUUCAUAGCUCACUAAGCCACAGAGGGAACUCCCUGAUGCCGUCUCUUUUUAAUUGUUGCUGAUUCCAACAGAAUCUUAACUGUCAUCGCCUCACGUCUGAGUAUUUAAGAGCUUUCCCACGGGUUUCUUCACCGUCAAGUCCCCCCUUCGUGAGCUGAGGCGUUAGUUGUUAGUUAUUCCCCACUUUGGCCUCCCCAUGGCAUCCAGCUCCAGGCCUGAACACACAAGUGCCUCACCCUCCCCCACUGGACCAGGGUAAACCCCUGGCUGACUCACAGCUCACUCUCCGGGGCAGUUUCCAGGAACCACCAGGAGCCAGCGGGAGAUGCGUUACACCCCCUCUCUCCACAGGCGUGGCCCUCGCAGUGACCCCAAGAUGCAAGCAAGACGGAAGCUGCCUCUGCCAGCUGGGCAAAAAUAUCUGACCCCCACACCACCAGACCAGCUGUUCUGAAAGCCUGACGGGGGUCUCUGUCUCUGUCCCUUCUGGUGUCCCCACAGCGUCCCGAAAGGAAAAGGGACCUGAAGCAGAUUCUGCGCCUUCUGUUCCCAGCUCUACUGAGAGAGAAGGGACACACAACGGCAGGUACGUCAGGUGUACCA
RNAcentral lists this long non-coding RNA (1384 nucleotides) under Sus scrofa (pig). RNAcentral describes it as "lncRNA (ENSSSCG00055000840.1)". The record is from RNAcentral. Lineage: Eukaryota; Metazoa; Chordata; Mammalia; Artiodactyla; Suidae.